RNAcentral lists this ribosomal RNA (672 nucleotides) under uncultured bacterium. RNAcentral's name for it is "bacterial SSU rRNA". It matches the Rfam family "Bacterial small subunit ribosomal RNA", at positions 1 to 696 of the family's 1533-position model. The record is from RNAcentral.
AGUCGACGGAAGUCGUUAUGAUGAUUUCAACACUGACAGAGAACUUGUUCAAAGAAAGUAGAGAUUGACUUAUAACAAUGGCUUUAGUGGCGGACUGGUGAGUAACACGUGAGCAACCUGCCUAUCAGAGGGGAAUAACAGUGAGAAAUCAUUGCUAAUACCGCAUAUGCCAUAAAUAUCACAUGAUGAAAGUGGGAAAGGAGUAAUCCGCUGAUAGAUGGGCUCGCGUCUGAUUAGAUAGUUGGUGGGGUAACGGCCUACCAAGUCGACGAUCAGUAGCCGGACUGAGAGGUUGAACGGCCACAUUGGGACUGAGAUACGGCCCAGACUCCUACGGGAGGCAGCAGUCGGGAAUAUUGCGCAAUGGAGGAAACUCUGACGCAGUGACGCCGCGUAUAGGAAGAAGGUUUUCGGAUUGUAAACUAUUGUUGUUAGGGAAGAUACAAGACAGUACCUAAGGAGGAAGCUCCGGCUAACUACGUGCCAGCAGCCGCGGUAAUACGUAGGGAGCAAGCGUUAUCCGGAUUUAUUGGGUGUAAAGGGUGCGUAGACGGGAAAGCAAGUUAGUUGUGAAAUCCCUCGGCUUAACUGAGGAACUGCAACUAAAACUACUUUUCUUGAGUGUUGGAGAGGAAAGUGGAAUUCCUAGUGUAGCGGUGAAAUGCGUAGAUA